GAUGAACGCUGGCGGCGUGCCUAAUACAUGCAAGUCGAGCGAACAGACGAGGAGCUUGCUCCUCUGACGUUAGCGGCGGACGGGUGAGUAACACGUGGAUAACCUACCUAUAAGACUGGGAUAACUUCGGGAAACCGGAGCUAAUACCGGAUAAUAUAUUGAACCGCAUGGUUCAAUAGUGAAAGACGGUUUUGCUGUCACUUAUAGAUGGAUCCGCGCCGCAUUAGCUAGUUGGUAAGGUAACGGCUUACCAAGGCAACGAUGCGUAGCCGACCUGAGAGGGUGAUCGGCCACACUGGAACUGAGACACGGUCCAGACUCCUACGGGAGGCAGCAGUAGGGAAUCUUCCGCAAUGGGCGAAAGCUUGACGGAGCAACGCCGCGUGAGUGAUGAAGGUCUUCGGAUCGUAAAACUCUGUCAUUAGGGAAGAACAAAUGUGUAAGUAACUAUGCACGUCUUGACGGUACCUAAUCAGAAAGCCACGGCUAACUACGUG
Molecule: ribosomal RNA, 497 nt
Filed under: uncultured bacterium
Lineage: Bacteria
Description: partial 16S ribosomal RNA
Rfam family: Bacterial small subunit ribosomal RNA
Source: RNAcentral